UAAGAGGAGAUAACGAACUGA
RNAcentral lists this non-coding RNA (21 nucleotides) under Caenorhabditis elegans. Lineage: Eukaryota; Metazoa; Nematoda; Chromadorea; Rhabditida; Rhabditidae. The record is from RNAcentral.